Non-coding RNA from Acanthosepion pharaonis, 108 nucleotides. The record is from the annotation of a GenBank genome assembly. NCBI's taxonomy places the organism in Eukaryota, Metazoa, Mollusca, Cephalopoda, Sepiida, Sepiidae.
GUCAUAUCAAGUCAAUACAUCAGUUCUCAUUUGAUCACAGAAGUUAAGCAAUGUUGAGCUUGGUCAGUACCUAGAUGCAUGACUGCUUGGGAAUAUCCGGUGCUGUAA